Molecule: ribosomal RNA, 497 nt
Filed under: uncultured bacterium
Lineage: Bacteria
Description: partial 16S ribosomal RNA
Rfam family: Bacterial small subunit ribosomal RNA
Source: RNAcentral
GAUGAACGCUGGCGGUGUGCCUAAUACAUGCAAGUCGAGCGAACAGACGAGGAGCUUACUCCUCUGACGUUAGCGGCGGACGGGUGAGUAACACGUGGAUAACCUACCUAUAAGACUGGGAUAACUUCGGGAAACCGGAGCUAAUACCGGAUAACAUGUUGAACCGCAUGGUUCAACAGUGAAAGACGGUCUUGCUGUCACUUAUAGAUGGGUCCGCGUCGCAUUAGCUAGUUGGUAAGGUAACGGCUUACCAAGGCAACGAUGCGUAGCCGACCUGAGAGGGUGAUCGGCCACACUGGAACUGAGACACGGUCCAGACUCCUACGGGAGGCAGCAGUAGGGAAUCUUCCGCAAUGGGCGAAAGCCUGACGGAGCAACGCCGCGUGAGUGAAGAAGGUCUUCGGAUCGUAAAACUCUGUUAUUAGGGAAGAACAAAUGUGUAAGUAACUAUGCACGUCUUGACGGUACCUAAUCAGAAAGCCACGGCUAACUACGUG